UACGUAGGAGGCAAGCGUUGUCCGGAAUCACUGGGCGUAAAGCGCGUGUAGGCGGAUCGCUAAGUCUGUGGUGAAAGCGCCUGGCUUAACCGGGCGAGGUCCAUGGAAACUAGCGGUCUGGAGGCCGGUAGAGGGGGGGUGGAAUUCCGGGGUGUAGUGGUGAAAUGCGUAGAGAUCCGGAGGAACACCAGUGGCGAAGGCGGCCCCCCUGGGCCGCGCCUGACGCUGAGACGCGAAAGCGCGGGGAGCGAACGGG
This 256-nucleotide ribosomal RNA is filed under the name uncultured bacterium. Its description in RNAcentral is "partial 16S ribosomal RNA". It matches the Rfam family "Bacterial small subunit ribosomal RNA", at positions 524 to 776 of the family's 1533-position model. The record is from RNAcentral.